UAGUCAACUUCUUGCCUCGGCCUUCUCCUGAGUGGGGGAAUCUAUCCUAGUUCUCUCACUCACUUCGGAGCCGCUGUAAAAGAAAGAAAACUUUUUUCCCUGACAAUGACUAAAAGAGGGAACAGGGAACGGCAGUCCCCUUUCUGGGUUGGGGAUGGCGCACCAGGAGAUUCCGUUCGAGGGGAAAGGAAAGAUGAUGCCAAACAAAGGAGGUGGGGUGGGGAUGGUGGAAACCGAAAAAAAACAAAAAACAAAAAACAACCAAACCCCAAGACAGGGGUAGAAGCCAAAUGGAGAGAGAAAUGCCCCAGAAAGCUGACGCUCCCCACUCUGGGGUCUGGCCACCUGGGGCCCUCGACUGCCCACGGCGGCGUGGGGUGGGCUCAGGCGGCAGAGCGGGGCGGGAGGGGCCAGAGCCGCAUGCGCCUGCCCCAGGGCGCCGGGCGGGCCAGGGCUCAGGGAGGACAGGCCGGACUGCCCUUGCCCAGGAGUGAGGCGAGCAGGCGGCUGCGGGCAAAGGGAAUGGUGGGGUCAGAGGCCAAGGUCUCCCAGGCCGAGGGCACGAACCCGGCCACGAGGCGCGCCCGGGCUCGUGACCCCUCCUUCCCGGCCCGACGGCGCCCCGAGGAGCCCCAGUCUUCGAGCCCGGGGUUCAACCCGCCCGCCCAACCGCGCGUGGCCUGAAGAUCCGAGCCGGAGGCAGCCUCGAAGUUUCUACAGUCCUCAGGCUCCCAACCCGGAUCAGAACAUGGUAAGACGCGCUCAGCGUGGCCCCGGCCUGUGGACGACUACCGUCGCUGCCUGGACCCACCCAGCCAACCGCUCUCUCGCCGCCUGACCCAAACGGCCGGGCCCUACCGACGCCAUGAGCAGCCCCGGCCCCGGGGAACGCAAGCCAGGCGACCUAGAGGCCCAUCCGCCAGGCGGCUGAAGACGGGGCCUGAGGUGGCCUGGAAAAGUCAAGUCCUCGCCCACCCCAACCGCAUUAGGAUCAUUUAAAACCGAGUAACCUUGGCCUGCCUUCGACCCCACAUCCCUGACCGUGUCAGGACCCACCUGGCCAACGGUCACCGAACUUCUGACCAUGAAGUGGGGUGAGCAGCAGGGAAAGCAAGACUGCGCUUCCUGAUUGGCCAGCUUGUCCGCCUAGUGUAUCCUGGGAGUUGUAGUCCCAGGCAAGGGCCCAGCGGAGAAAGUUCUAGAUGCCAGGCUGAAAGUGACAGGUGCAGCAUCGUGGGCUGAGAGGGAGGGCAGGGAAGGUGAUGACACUCCCUGCCUAUUAUGUGUUGGGUGCUGUGCUACGAGCUUUACCGCCCUUAUCUGCAUUAAUUUUCGCGGUGUAGGCAUGUGGAUAGGCCAGACUCUGGACUGAAACUGCUUGGAUUUGAAUCCUGUUCUGCACUUGUUUAGCUAUAGCGGUGCUGGGAAGCGGUUGGAUCUUUCAGCGUCCAAAUGUCCUCAUCUGUCAUAUGGGUCUAGUGUUCUUUUGAGGGUUAAGUGAGAUAAUGCAUCAAAGGGCCUUGGCAGAUGAUGUGCCCAAUAAAUGUUGGCUAUCAUUCCUAUAAAUUUUUACAGUAAAAAAAGAGUAAAAAUGAGUGGAGAGAUGUACGCUGGUUUCUUGCCAAGUGGAGAAGCUGGGAUUCAAGCCAUCUUUGCUGGAUUCCAAGAGGAAUCCCCGCCACUGCAACCUCUGGGGCUGACGCAGACACUGUUCUUGGUGCCCCGGGGAAUUGCCUUCCGCUGAGUGAGGAGCACAGACCUCCAGCAUCAGAAUUGAAAGAGUUGGAAGGUGACUAGCUGGACUGCACGUUGGUUAACGCCUGUGUGCCGUGUAGAAACAUCUCUCAUAGUCCUUGUGGGAUGUGUCCCACACUUUGCCAAGCCUAGGAUUGGAUGCUGUCCAAAACACCAGUGCUUUCUAAGACUCCUUCAUUCUCAGUGUGCUAUGGAUGCUUUUCAAAACUCACCUCAAGCUUGAAGGGAGUCUUCCUGAAUUAACCCUACCCUGCUCUGCAGUUUUGUACCGUCUCUCUGCCAAUGCUUUCCUCACUCAACAUUUUAACAGUGGACACUCGCUAGUGUCACAGUCUUGUAUUUUCUUAUUCUGAUAUGUGUGCUGAGCAUUUUUCAUCUAAUUCUCUGAGUGCUGAGUAAGGGGGGAAAAAGAGGCACAAAAGGUCAAGGGACACACAUUCUUUCAGCACUCCCUGUAUAUCAUGCAUUCUGUUAGAAGCUUUCAUCUGCUGACAACACUCGGAGGUAGCUGUUACCACCCCAGUUACAUGGAUAAUGAAGCUUGAGCUCAGAGAGCUUAGUGCCUGCUCAGGGGCACAAGAAGCAGAUUCAGAUCCUAUCUGUGCGGACUCCAGAGCCUUCUGUUUUUCCUCCGAGCCAAGUUGUCUCCCAGACCAGGGUACCAUCUCUUGAAACAGCAAACAAGUACAUCGUGGCUCCAUAAUGUUUUGGGCUUCACAGAUCAUUGUACUUAAACACACCUGUAGUGACACAUACAAGCAUACAAAUAUGAAGUGAUCAACACAGGAAAAUAAACAACGUUUACUUUCUGAAUUAAGGACAUUAACAAAACAAAAAUAACUGCCAUCACUGUUUUAUAAAAGCAGGAAUAAUUUAACAUCAAAAGGAAGGAAGAAAGGAAAAAAAGGAAGGUCAUAAGAAUUUCAGAAUAAGACUCUCAACAAAAAAUCUUACUGAAUGUGUCUUUUUUCUCCCUUUAUGUUGAUGCAGACUAGUGAAAACUUCACCUUAGACCUGCAUGACUCCAUAUGUGUGAUCGGAAACUCCCCACAGAUAACAGUAGGAGAAAAUACAAUGUCUAAGAGAAGUAGGGUGAAGAAUGUAGGUGGGUUGAGACGUAGCAUUAAGAUUGAGAAUCCUGAAAAUGAGGUGAUGAUGGGGCUGGGCUGGGAAGAAUGUGGUGUCUCUGGGUCCCCAGCGUCCCAAACACUCUGAACUCAUUCACAAGGUCCAGCAGGUGUUUGCAGGGCCUACCUGAGCUCAGAUACUUGCAGAUUAGGAUUCUGCUCCCAGGACUUUCGAUAGAAUCUAAACCUUCCACCCCUCCACAGUGAUUACUUCUUAUGAGUAGAUUCAAACUACUGUGAUUUGGAAAAGAUCAUCGUUGAGCCUUUCUUUUCUAUUUUUCUUUUUUAAAAGAAGAAUCAACUUUGUGUUUCUUUUAAAUGUGUUAUAAGAGGGAACAAAAGAUCUGAACUCAGAAAAAGAUAUAUUGUAAUAAUGUAUUUUCCUCCAUGAAAAUGUCUUGGAGCAAUGAUGACUACUUAUCGUAGUGUACUUCCUCCUUAAAUAACUAUAGAUUCUGUCUUUUCUUUUUCCUAACAAAAUAAAACUUUAAAAACACAGUCUGCUACUUAAGGCUUGAGACUGUUACAGAUGAAGCCUUAAAAAAAUCUAUCUUCCUUAAUAAGUUUGCAAAUACAACACUUUACGGGAAUGCAACACAGGGUGCAGUUGUUGAUUCUAAUGUUAAUCAAAUAAAGGAGAUUAAAAAGCUGGUAAAUUCUCCCAUAAAGAGAAAAGCUGUUACAGAACAACAAGGUGAUUAAGCGUUUUAUGGAGCCGGAUGUGAGUGCCUCAGUUAGUUUUAUUACAAAUUCUUGAUGUAAAGUCUUCCUUGCCAGGAAAAGAAAU
This 3669-nucleotide long non-coding RNA is filed under the name Equus asinus (donkey). Its description in RNAcentral is "lncRNA (ENSEASG00005032826.1)". Lineage: Eukaryota; Metazoa; Chordata; Mammalia; Perissodactyla; Equidae. The record is from RNAcentral.